CGCUUCCUUGUGGGCUCGUUGCUUGUGAGAGAGACCGCACCUUCAGAAAAACGCGAUUAUUCUGCCACGACCAGAAACAAGGUAAGCCAUGGACGCGUCGGCAAACAGCGCAAUUUUCUUUCCGUUAUACUGAGUCCGGCCAGCCUGCAAUGUUACACGCACUACUAAUGAAGUCUGACCCGGCGCGUUGAUCUAAUAUGUCGCGCUGCACCAAAAAAAGAAGUAAGCGGGCUGAAAGCACCUUCAAAGGGAAGACACAGACUGCUUGGUGCAGAAAGUGGGCAGUGCCGGAGAGCGGAAGGUGAUUCCAAUUCCUGAUCGUCUUUCGCAAGAGCAAUUAUAAGCUCAACGUAUACCGGACAACGGGACCUUGCCACGCUUUCAACUGUAGCGACGGGCGACGCUCCAGACCCUAGUCCUGCGGUGGCACAGCAUUGUUUAAGCCGCCAACGGGCUAUGACAUUGGCUACGCUCAUUCUCGGAAGACCCCGACGCAACGGCCACUGACACAUUCAUAUCGGGCGUACCGACCAAAGCAUCAGCCAAUCCAGCGGCCGUAUCAAGCCAGCCGUCGCGACGCUUUGUCGUCUUUGUUUCCCACGCUACGAAGAAAUAUGAUUCCACUGAUUCAAGAUGAGGCCACAUAUUCUCGAAAGAACGACACUUGGCGUCAUAAUCGG
Dermacentor albipictus is the source of this 680-nucleotide non-coding RNA. The record is from RefSeq and is a predicted model, not a curated record. NCBI's taxonomy places the organism in Eukaryota, Metazoa, Arthropoda, Arachnida, Ixodida, Ixodidae.